This is a long non-coding RNA of Centropristis striata (black sea bass), 246 nucleotides long. RefSeq lists it as uncharacterized. The transcript has 3 exons. NCBI's taxonomy places the organism in Eukaryota, Metazoa, Chordata, Actinopteri, Perciformes, Serranidae. The record is from RefSeq and is a predicted model, not a curated record.
CUCUGUCGUCUUCAGCAUCCUCACUCAGACCGACACUGAGAAAGAAGAAGAGAAGAUAAUCCUCCAGCAGGUUAUUAUCAACUGAGACGUCUGCAUCAUCUCCAUCAUGAAGACUCUGACUGUGACUGCACUUCUCUGUGCCGUGAUGGCGCUGACCACCGCUGCUACUCUUUCAGAGGUGAAGGAUGUACAGGAAGCUCUGGAAAAACCUGGAGAAGGUAAAUACAUACUUCUUACGUCCUUUUA